Molecule: transfer RNA, 72 nt
Filed under: Camelus bactrianus (Bactrian camel)
Lineage: Eukaryota; Metazoa; Chordata; Mammalia; Artiodactyla; Camelidae
Also listed under: 2 other names
Rfam family: tRNA
About the family: Transfer RNA (tRNA) molecules are approximately 80 nucleotides in length. Their secondary structure includes four short double-helical elements and three loops (D, anti-codon, and T loops).
Source: Rfam by way of RNAcentral
GAGGGCACAGCUCAGUGGUAGAGCACGUGCUUAGCAUGCACGAGGUCCUGGGUUCAACCCCCAGUCCCUCCA